CCAUGGCUAAGCUCCAGCAGCUUAAUCUCCUUCGACACAAGCGCACACACCACCAAGAAGCCCAUCUUCUCCAUGUCAAGAUCAAAAGGCUCGUCCAUGGCUGCGUCUUCGUCGUCAACCCAUCGCCAUGUUUGUUGCUUUUUCUUGCUGCCUCUGCGUCGUCCAUGGCUUCCCGAACUGCUGCUCCAUUUUCUCCAUAAGCUGCUGAACGCAGCAGCAGUAGACGACCAGCUGCUCCUCCGCCGUAGUUGUCGUUGUUGCUGCUCGAAACUGCGCAAGGCUGCGGCUCCAGCUCCUCGCCAUUGUUGCUAGCUGCGAGCUUCUGCUUCAUGCUGCCAUGGUCGACCAGCUGCUCCUGUUCUGUCGCGUCAACUGCUGCCCGUGUCCAGCUGUGACGAGCAGCCAUGGCUGUCCGCGACGCUGCCGCUGCUCCUCCUUCCUCCGCCGCUGCUUCUACUUCUUCUUCGUCUUCGUCGUCCUUCGUUCGAGCUUUGAUCGAGGCUCGGACAGAUUUGUUUACAAUCAAAGUUCGUCGUUGAUUCACCUCCGGUUAGUUGUUUUUGAGUUUUAUUUUUGUCCAUAUUUUUGUUUGAUAUUUUCC
Molecule: long non-coding RNA, 601 nt
Filed under: Nicotiana tabacum (common tobacco)
Lineage: Eukaryota; Viridiplantae; Streptophyta; Magnoliopsida; Solanales; Solanaceae
Description: long non-coding RNA (NTAB_LNC017066)
Source: RNAcentral